GCCCCUGUAGCUCAUCUGGAGAAGAGCGUCGGCCUACGAAGUCGAAGGUGGCAGGUUCGAGUCCUGCCAGGGGUAC
RNAcentral lists this transfer RNA (76 nucleotides) under Phytohabitans houttuyneae. RNAcentral describes it as "tRNA-Arg". It matches the Rfam family "tRNA". From Rfam's summary of the family: Transfer RNA (tRNA) molecules are approximately 80 nucleotides in length. The record is from RNAcentral. Lineage: Bacteria; Bacillati; Actinomycetota; Actinomycetes; Micromonosporales; Micromonosporaceae.